Molecule: ribosomal RNA, 301 nt
Filed under: uncultured bacterium
Lineage: Bacteria
Description: partial 16S ribosomal RNA
Rfam family: Bacterial small subunit ribosomal RNA
Source: RNAcentral
CAGUCGCCGCGGGAAUACGAAGGGGGCUAGCGUUGCUCGGAAUGACUGGGCGUAAAGCGCACGUAGGCGGCUUGGUAAGUUAGAGGUGAAAGCCUGGAGCUCAACUCCAGAAUUGCCUUUAAGACUGCCGAGCUAGCAGGUGAGAGAGGUAAGUGGAAUUCCGAGUGUAGAGGUGAAAUUCGUAGAUAUUCGGAAGAACACCAGUGGCGAAGGCGGCUUACUGGCUCAUACUGGACGCUGAGGUGCAAAAGCGUGGGGAGCAAACAGGAUUAGAUACCCCCGUAGUCCCUGUCUCUUAUAC